Mesocricetus auratus (golden hamster) is the source of this 379-nucleotide long non-coding RNA. RefSeq lists it as uncharacterized. The record is from RefSeq and is a predicted model, not a curated record. NCBI's taxonomy places the organism in Eukaryota, Metazoa, Chordata, Mammalia, Rodentia, Cricetidae. The transcript has 2 exons.
UUUGACUUCCUACAGCAGUGAUCUGUGAUCUACGGACACACCCCAGUGUAAGACAAUUUUUGGCUGGUGACAUGGUGUGCUGCCUGACCUGGAGAAAGUGGGACCCAGAGGUAAACCCAGAAGCAUGUCUCCUGGAUGACUCAACAUUGACGAUGAAGAAGAACCAUCAUUCUGUGUGUAUCUAGGAAUGAAAGAUCUGGAGAAGACGGGAGCCACCAAAGCAUGGAGGGCAUCGGACUCUCCAGCAAGCUUAAGGGACACGCAGGAAUAAGAAACACAUUGUGGAAAGAUGACUUAACAGCAAUCCUCUCUGACUUGUUGGGAAGGAAGUCAGAGUGGGACACAGACACUCAGCCAUAAAAUAAAGCCUAAUGUCAUA